AUCUGAAGACAGACUUGAACUAGGUACAUGUGUCCUCGCCGCAUGCUGUGUUCCCGGACACAGAAGAAAGAUCCCAGAAGAAGAUUCUUGAGGCUCAGAUGAUUCACAUGAAUCUCAGAAGACACGACAUGUGAGCUCCUCCCUGAGAUUACAAAAGCAGUGAUGAUGGCUGAGAGGGCAGAGCCUCUCCAGUGAGUCUGUUCACAGACGGUGGAAGGAGCUCCAAGAAUGCAGCUCUCAUGAACAUUCACCUAUGUCUCAGGCAGAACAGUGCAAGGCAGGAAUUCCAAGCAGAGAUAGAGAAGAAAAGUAGGAAGAGUCGAGGAGACACCAUGUAGCCACCAAAGGAGAAAGAUACCCCAGAACUUAACCGUCUCUUCCAGCUGUCACAUGUUUUGUCUGUGAGAAAGCUGAGACUUGCUUUGCGACCAUCUCGCAUCUUGCAUCUGUACCCAAAGGCUAUUUCUUGGAGUAUUGUCACACCAACAACAACAACAAAAAAUGUGGAAAGCUGCUUCUUGUUCAAUAGAACAUUCACGCUGCAAAAUGCACCAUGCGCUGAAGUUGCCUUUUGUGACAGAUAAUCCCGUUUGUCAGCUUGACACACUGGAGAAGAUGAGAGCUCAAGCGAGGAAUUCCCUCCCUCAGUGAUUCAGGACAUGGGACACAAUUCAGUGAUUCAGGACAUGGGACACAAUUCAGUGAUCCAGGACUUGGUACGCGUGUUCCACAUUAUAGUCUGCACCUAUACCGUUUAGAUCAUGUUCUCAGAUUGGGAAUGGUUUGGCCAACAUCUUCCUACUCUUCGACUGUUUAAGCGACUUUGUUAUUUGUGAGAGUUCACAUGUAAGGCUGGUCAUGUUGAUUUUGUAAGCAUUGGAAAGAGUUCAUAAGGAAGAGUGUGGUGGCUUGAAAGAAAAUGGUCCCCAAAGAGAAUGGCAUUAUUAGGAGAUGUGACCUUGUUGGAGGAAGUGUGGUCUUGUUGGAGGAAGUGUUCCCUGUGGGGCAGUCUUCGGGGUCUUUUUCUCAAGAUUCACUCAGUGUGCCAGUCAAUUGACUGCCUGCCUGUUGCCUGUAAGAUAAAGCACUCUCGGCUCGAACACCACGUUUGCCUGAAAACUGCCAUGUUCCUCAUCAAGAUCAUAAUGGACUGAAUCGCUGAAACUGUAAACGAGCUACCCUCAAUUAAAUAUUUUCUUCGUAAGAA
Alexandromys fortis (reed vole) is the source of this 1207-nucleotide long non-coding RNA. RefSeq lists it as uncharacterized. NCBI's taxonomy places the organism in Eukaryota, Metazoa, Chordata, Mammalia, Rodentia, Cricetidae. The transcript is spliced from 6 exons. The record is from RefSeq and is a predicted model, not a curated record.